AAUGAAUAUAUUUAUUUUGAAAGAUAGAUUUUUAAUAAUAAUAAAUAAAAAAAAAACACAAACUUCCUAUUUUGUGCUAAAAUUCUAAAAAAAAUCCGAACUCCCGCCCAACUUUGGGCGCCAGCGCUUAUUGGAAAAGGAGAACCAAACAGGUGCAAUAUCUUAAAAACCUUAUACCAAACAGGUGCAAUAUAUUUUUAGGUUAAAUCAUUUCAGCCGCCCCCCAAUCGCCUCCAUGUCUAUUCUCGUUCUCACUGAACUUCGGGCCCCCUCUCUCUGCAACUGCAAACUACAAAAUCUACAAGAAUCAGAAGUUCAAAAUCCAAAUAUUUCAGUUUAUCUAUCUGUCUGCAAGAAUCAAAAGUUGAAAACCUAUUACCUAUAUCAAAACCCAUAUCGGCAUAUCAUCUCAGAUUGUUCAAAAAAUCGAAACCUCCAUCGCCCACUGUUCCAGUUCGGGUUCACCGUUCGCAAGCUUCAGCCGCUGGCCCGCUGUCUCUCAACUCUCUAGCUUGCCCCCAUCUCUCUCUGCAACCGCUAACUUUGUAAUCUUGAGGCAUUCAGUGGUUCGAUUGAAGCCCUAACAUACCCCAGUUUGAUUGGUGGCCCUCACCUGAGGGCUCUCAGGAAACCUAGCGGCCAACUUCACCUCUCAACUCUGUCCUCUCGCCGGCAACAAUCAUGGAUUUGAAAGACUAAUUGGUAAAUUUGGGUUGAACUUGAGUCUUGAACAAGCUUAAGAUAAAGUAAAUCAGGGUGCUAAGGAGAAGGUAAAGGAUACGGAAGAAAAUACGGAAAGGCCAAGGCAGAUUGAAUGCAAGGUUAUUAUUCUUACAAUUAUAUAUAUGCAUUUCUCUUUUAAAAUUGUGAAGAAUCAUAAGAUUUUCUUUUAUGAUUGGUUCUUGCUAACUUUGAUGAUUGUGUUUUUUGUGGCUAGCUGAGAAUUAGUUUUUGCUGUUUCAGCAGAACACUUAAUGGGAGGAUUAAGAGGUUUGAUUUUGAGAAUCUAGAAAUGUGCCUUGUAACCGGAGUUGCUUUAUUUUUUUUUUUUUUGAGUAUAACUGGAGGUAUUUAAUUCUUAAUCAACUUUAACCAUAAAGCACAAAGUAACUGGGUUUUCAGGUUACGCCUUUGUCAUAUACUUAUGUACCCAUACCUCAUGAACUCUUAUGAUUAUGCUGGGGCUGUUUUACAUGCUUGCCUUUGAUGGCUAAUUAGUAAAGUUUUUAGCUGCAUGCUGAAACUUAAUAAUGUUAAAGAAUGGCUUUACCAAUUAUGGGCUCUGUAAUCAAGUUUGCUGGGAGGAAUGAAUGGGUACACACCUAUAUUUUUAUUUUUACUAAGUGGUUGCUCGAACUGAAAUUCAGUAAUGUAUUACUCAAUAUAACAAGUACAGUAAGCAUGUUUGGGUAUCUAGGAGUUCCUUUAAACCCAUGGCUCUUUUAGUAGUAGAUUAAUAGUUUUGUUUACUGCACAACUUUUUUCUAUGACUAUUUUUGCUUGUGGAAAAUAGUUUCAACUCAGUUAAUAUAUAUUAUUUGGUUUAUAAAGUAAUGGAAUACAUGGACGAAAUGGAAUUUGAAAAUUGGUUUCAUAUAGCCAACUUUAAUAGUUGAAAAUAGAGUUGGUUUGUUGAGUUGAGAUGUUAUAAAAUAUUUAACUAGGAAAAAAAAAUGUUAUAAAAUAUUUAGUAUUGAUAAAUUACUUGCUUUUUAUUCCAAUCCCAAGUAUUAUUCUAAAUUUUAUUAGGAGAAAACUUUGACAAUCUUAUGCUUUACUAUUUGUUUGAGGACACAUACCUACACCCAAUACGUGCAGCUGAGUCCAGGUGACAUAGCUUAAGUGUAGAGAAGAAGUUGGAAGCUUCAGCAAAUAUUGUGGGAGAGGGACAUCUUGUUCCCUUAUAAUCAAAUCCUAGUUAAAUGCUCAUAUUGGAAGUAUUAACUGCUAAGGCUAAUUUCUAGCCAAGUAGCCAGGCAUGAACCCAGAAUACUGGAAAUCUUCAAUUGUUAUUAUUACCCCCAUUGCCAUCUUUUCUUUCAGCUUUCAUUGGUCUUCUUUGUUGGUUUUAUUAGGUAUUAUCUUUGAGAAGAUUUUUGUCCUUUACUAUUAUUCCUUCUUCACUUUUUCUUGACAAGUGAAAUUUCUAAUAAGAAUUUGGCUGACAAUUAUUUCAAAUGCACUCUAGAACAUACAAGGGGAGAAAAAUUAUACCAAAAUGCAAGGAUGCAUACAAAAAUACAGUAGGAUAGAAGUGGGUUAUGCGUACUCUCGACCUUGAUUGAGCCUGGGAAUAACUAGAGCAAUCAGUUCACUUCAUUUUCAGUGUCUUUUUGAAUGCCUUGUUAAUCUUUAUGUCUAUACAAAGGAGCUAGUAUUUUUAGUUGAAAGGCAAACUCAUACCUCUAAAUUUUACUGACUAGCUCCAAGACUCAAAUGACAACUGAAAGAUGCGGGUAUGUGGAGGCCUUAGGAUAUCACUAGGAUGCAUGAAUUGUUUUCAGACAGAGGAAUUUACAAUCGUCAUGCCCCUCAUGCUUUCGCACUGAAAAGUUUUUUUUUUUUGGGUAUUAAUUUUGUGAGCAAACCCCUCUCCUUAACUGAUGAUUCGUGGGCAAAACAUAAUAAAGCUUGGAUCAUUUAAUUUGGGAUCAUGAACUUAACUCAAUAAAGCCUUAGCUCCCAAUUACUGGGGUACCAUUUAAUUUGGAAUUGUGUACUUUUGGAGGGAGGUGUGUGAGUAUCAAUUAGGAAAAAAAAAAUAGAAUUGUGUACUUAAUUCAAGAAGCCUCGGCCAAUUGAUUGUGUUAAGCUGCAUAAAUCAUUUUAAACCCAAUCUAGAGUGAUAUCCUACAUUUUUAUGGAACCAAAUAUAUGGGCAAAUGUUGAUAGAAUGUUUCAAUAAGGUUUUUCACGUUUUCUCAAUUAUUUUUCUUUUUUAUGUUUGAAUAUGCAAUGUAAAAGAUCCAUAGGCAUUAGUUCAUCCCUCAGACUAGUUCAUCUAUGUUACGGUAGUUUUUAGCAAAGGGCUAAGGAACCUUGGACUUGGGGCAAAAUUUAGUAUUUGUAAUCAUUCCAAACAUGUUGGCUUUUGUAUUAAUGUGAAUUGUUUAAGAUAUUUUUUUGUGCUUCUUUAAUAAUUAUUUGUUAUCUUGUGGUUUGUUAUUUGGUUUGUAUUUUUGCAUUCUUAGUGUGUAAAAAAGGCCUUAAAAAUAUGAGAAGACCUUGUAGAAACUUAAAUUUGUUGUAGUGGUUUGAAUUAAUCAUAAUUUUUCUAUUUUUUUGACAGAUUGCAUGUGGCUGGGAUUAUCUUUUUGACUUUUUGUUGCAGGCCCAUUAACUAUAUUUUUUGUUUCAUAUUGGCUCAGGAUAAAUUAACUUUUGUACUUUUGGUUCUUACAUGGGAUUGGAUUUAUGGAUCUCCCAUCUCCCCAUUGUUGGCAGAUGACAUGUAGAUGGUAUUAGUUUUUGUUAUAGUCCCAUUGAUUAUGUUUUUUUUGUUUCAUAUGGGCUUAGGAAAAAUUCACUUUUGGAUCUCCUAAUAUUGUUGGAUAUAGGUUUAAUCAUUCUCUAUGUAUAUGAAUCUUGUCUUGAUGUCAUAUUUGGAUUAUGUAUGGAUGAUUGGAUAUAUGAAAUAGUAUUUUAUUUUUUCAUUUGUAAAA
Molecule: long non-coding RNA, 3662 nt
Organism: Cornus florida
Lineage: Eukaryota; Viridiplantae; Streptophyta; Magnoliopsida; Cornales; Cornaceae
Exons: 4
Source: RefSeq, a predicted model, not a curated record